Molecule: ribosomal RNA, 286 nt
Filed under: uncultured bacterium
Lineage: Bacteria
Description: partial 16S ribosomal RNA
Rfam family: Bacterial small subunit ribosomal RNA
Source: RNAcentral
AGCGGAGCGUGUGGUUUAAUUCGAUGAUAAGCGAAGAACCUUACCUGGGCUUGACAUGCAUUUGCCAGCCCGUGAAAGCGGGUCUUCUUUCGAGACAAGUGCACAGAUGUUGCAUGGCUGUCGUCAGCUCGUGCCGUGAGGUGUUGGGUUAAGUCCCGCAACGAGCGCAACCCUCGUCGUUAGUUACUAUGUCUAGCGAGACUGCUCCUAAAAGGGGAGAGGAAGGUGGGGACGAGGUCAAGUCGGCACGGCUCUUACGCCCAGGGCUACACACACGCUACAAUGG